GAUCCUGGCUCAGGAUGAACGCUAGCUACAGGCUUAACACAUGCAAGUCGAGGGGAAACGACAUCGAAAGCUUGCUUUUGAUGGGCGUCGACCGGCGCACGGGUGAGUAACGCGUAUCCAACCUGCCCAUCACUUGGGAAUAACCUUGCGAAAGUAAGACUAAUGCCCAAUGACAUCCCACGAAGGCAUCCGAAUGGGAUUAAAGAUUUAUCGGUGUACGAUGGGGAUGCGUUCCAUUAGGUAGUAGGG
This 249-nucleotide ribosomal RNA is filed under the name uncultured bacterium. RNAcentral describes it as "partial 16S ribosomal RNA". It matches the Rfam family "Bacterial small subunit ribosomal RNA", at positions 15 to 253 of the family's 1533-position model. The record is from RNAcentral.